This 87-nucleotide transfer RNA is filed under the name Alphaproteobacteria bacterium. RNAcentral describes it as "tRNA-Ser". It matches the Rfam family "tRNA". Rfam says of the family: Transfer RNA (tRNA) molecules are approximately 80 nucleotides in length. The record is from RNAcentral. Lineage: Bacteria; Pseudomonadati; Pseudomonadota; Alphaproteobacteria.
GGAGGGAUGGCAGAGCGGUAAUGCAGCAGAUUGCUAAUCUGUGUACGUGAAAGCGUACCGAGGGUUCGAGUCCCUCUCCCUCCGCCA